CGAACAGGAUUAGAUACCCUGGUAGUCCACGCCCUAAACGGUGGGCACUAGGUGUAGGGCUCGCAAGGGUUCUGUGCCGAAGCGAAAGCAUUAAGUGCCCCGCCUGGGGAGUACGGCCGCAAGGUUGAAACUCAAAGGAAUUGACGGGGGCCCGCACAAGCGGUGGAGCAUGUGGUUUAAUUCGACGCAACGCGAAGAACCUUACCUGGGCUUGACAUGUUAGUGGUAAAAACCCGAAAGGGCGAUGACCUGUAGCAAUACAGGAGCUAACACAGGUGCUGCAUGGCUGUCGUCAGCUCGUGCCGUGAGGUGUUGGGUUAAGUCCCGCAACGAGCGCAACCCUUAUCCUCUGUUACCCCGUAAGGGGGUCUCUGAGGAAACUGCCGGCGAUGAGCUGGAGGAAGGCGGGGAUGACGUCAAGUCAUCAUGGCCCUUAUGUCCAGGGCUACACACGUGCUACAAUGGCUGCUACAGAGGGGUGCAAGACCGCGAGGUGGAGCCAAUCCCUAAAAGCAGUCGUAGUUGGGAUCGGAGUCUGCAACUCGACUCCGUGAACGUGGAAUCGCUAGUAAUCGUGGAUCAGCACGCCACGGUGAAUACGUUCCCGGGCCUUGUACACACCGCCCGUCACACCACGAAAGCCUGUUGUACCCGAAGCAGGUGCGCUAACUCGCAAGAGAGGCAGCCUUCUAAGGUAUGGCCGGUAAUUGGGGUGAAGUCGUAACAAGGUAACCGUA
Molecule: ribosomal RNA, 737 nt
Filed under: uncultured bacterium
Lineage: Bacteria
Description: bacterial SSU rRNA
Rfam family: Bacterial small subunit ribosomal RNA
Source: RNAcentral